This is a long non-coding RNA of Brassica oleracea var. oleracea, 2898 nucleotides long. RefSeq lists it as uncharacterized. The record is from RefSeq and is a predicted model, not a curated record. Lineage: Eukaryota; Viridiplantae; Streptophyta; Magnoliopsida; Brassicales; Brassicaceae. The transcript is spliced from 3 exons.
GCCACACGAUCACCACCUUUUCACGUAAACUGCUUACACCUAAUUCAAGUGAACUUUAAAAUCAUUUCAUCAACAUGUUUUUUUUUACAAAGCGCUCUUCGUUUCACACAAACAUCAUCAACAAAUUUCUUUACAAGCUUCACUAAAUCUUCUGAAGUGUUCAAUUUUGAUGUUUACGAGCCACAAUCCAAUUGAUGCUUUCAGCCGCUUUAAAACCAAAAUUUUCAGAAUUCACAGACAUGUACGAGAAGUCAUAUCUAAAAGAAGAAGUAGAUCUAAGCAAUCAAAGACAAGUUUGGAUGAAGUAUGUUCUAGAGCUAAGUUGGCGGAAGUUAGAGACAGAUGAAUUAGAUAGAGUAUUAAAAGAGUUGCAAAACAUUUGAUCCAUUCAGAAUUUCAGGUCUUCUUCUUCGCGGCAGAUCGUAAACCUCCACAGCAACACACGGCGUCUUCGGUCCCAACUGCUUAGAUUUGCGGUGUGAAAUCGAUUACAUGACAUCUGCAUCGGCGCUUCUUCCAGCGUGGUCUUCUCUCUCUCAUGACUGAAGCUCGAAUUCUUCAUUGAACCAUUGCGCCUCCACCGAACUAUGAUUUAUCAUCGCAGCAUGUUCUCUCCGUCAGUCGCCGUGCCCUCAUAUCUCCUCCACGAGGGGAUCAAAUUCUGUUGUGACCUUCAUAUAUCUUCCACGAGGCUUGAUUCUGCCGCCGCAUACUUCACCGCAAGUCAACGUUGACGCCGUCCCUUGCCGCUUGUUUUUCAAGUCUGUCACGAUGGCGUGGUGGAAAACGGAGCGCAUGAUUUCAUCCGAUGCGGUUCUAAGGUCGAGGUACGUCUCGCCGAUCUUCUCUCUCGUAUGAGAUAAUUAGAAGGGUUGCUACCUUGGACGCGAUGGAGAAGAGGCUGGCGAUAUCGACGGUGAUAGCGAGUGCAGCGGCGUCGGGAGGCACGAUUGUGGUGAAGGAGUUCAUUGGUAGGUUCGAGAAGCCGAGGAAGAACAAGUUUUUGGAUGCGAUGAAGAGAUGGGGGUUGGAUCCGAAGGGGAAAACAAUAUUUUUGGUGGUUGAUGUGGAGGAGAACGUGGCGAAGUCGAGCAGGAAUAUAGGAAUGCUAAGGAAGUUGACGUAGAGGAGUUUGAAUGUGUUUGAUGUUUUGAAUUCCAAUAAGCUGGUGCUUACUCUUGCGGUGGUGGAGUUUUUGAAUGCUAGGUAUGGUGUUGAAGAAUUGGUUACAGGGGAUGAAGAUGAAAAUGUCAGGAAAUUUACAACCUAAUGUUUGCGGAGAUAGUGGAAAGAAUGUUAUGUUGGAAGUACAAAGCAUGCAUGAUUUUGUCAAGGUGUUGCAAAAAAGGUACCAUUCUUUAACACUUUACUUAAGAUAAAUAAGAAGCUUACAUGUGGCUGCCUUCAAGGUGGUUGUUCCUCUUGUUCAAGUUACAAUUUUUGCUUUGUCUUAGUUUGAUACAACUAAAUUCACACUUUAUUUAAUAUUUUUUUAUAAUUAUUACUUCAUCCUAUAAAUUUACGAGAUCUACUUUAUAUUGUUAAGGUUUGUUUAUUAGCUUAGCCAUUUUAUUUUUGAAAAACAUACUUUGUCCGUACUUUUACAAAGUAUCUUUUUUUGUUUAGUCACAUUAUUUUGGAAAAACAUACACUGAUUAUAUUUUUACAAGAUUUAUGAUUCCAUAAUAUUUUAAACAUAGCCUGGACACAUAAACAAGUGGUAUAAUCAUAUGUCAACCAAUAUUACUAGUAUAACUUCUGUAAUUAGUGUAAAAUGUAAACCAGUCUGAUACAACUAGUAUAACUGGUCCAACUAUAUAUCAAACCAUACUGUUAUACUGGUAUAACUGGUACAUCUAUGCUUUAUUUAUCAUACAAGUAAUAUUGGUAUAAAUAGUACAACUAUUCAUUUUCUGAAAUUUAUAUAUUUCAUUGGGUAUUCCAUAUGAAAAAAAAAAUCAAAUGACCAUUUUGGUAAAUAUUUAGAUAGUUUCCUUAUUAUUUUUUUGUUUUUUUGUAGUUCUUACACCAUCACAUAAGUUUGCAUGAUCUACCUUAUACUUUUAAGGUUUGUUAACUUAUUUGUACACAUAAUUUUUGGAAAACAUACAUGAAAUGUAUUUUAACAAAAUUGAUGAUUUCAUUUUAUUGGGGAAAAUGCAUGCACACAUAAAGAAGUGGUACAAAUGAAGUAAAUUUAAAUCUUAUGUGGUACAACUAGUUUUUUCGAUUUCACUGCCAAAGUACAACUAUGUACAAACCAGUACAACUAAAAAACUAGUACAACUAUGCACAAAUCGGUAUAACUCAAAUAUACUAGUACAACUAUGUUAUUUCAUUUUGUAUUGUGCAUCACGUUUAAAACGUGUAUCAUGUUGUAUACAUUAUGGUUUAAUAUUACAUGAAGUAGUUGUAACUUUCCUAAAAAAAAUUAUGAAUUUUUUUUUGACAAUUAUUACACCAUCACAUAAGUUUACAUAAUUUACCGUAUACUUUAAUUGUUUGUUUACUUGAUUAACCAUGUUAUUUGAAAAAAAAAACAUAAUCUAACUUUCAGAAAUCGUUAGUUUAAGUUAAUGUCAAUGUUACGAGGCCGUUUUGUGAUAUAUUGUGUUUUCUGACAGAUUGUAUAUAUGUUUUCUAAAUUGUUUUCAAGUUUUUAUCGAGUCUCUCUAGUCUUUUUCGAGUCAUUUUCAGGUUCGAAGUAGGUUGAAUGGCUCUUGGAGAUAUGCAUGCAGAGAAUAGUGAAACUUGGAGAUUUCUAAUUCGGAGCAGCCGUUAUUGUUUUACAACUAAAAAAAAACUAGUACAACUAUAUUGUUAUUUUAUUUAGUAUUGCUUUAAAUGUGCAUCACGUUUUAAAUUAAUGUUAGUGUAAUGAAUGUAUUUAAAAGUUUA